This 351-nucleotide unclassified non-coding RNA is filed under the name soil metagenome. RNAcentral's name for it is "partial contains 5.8S ribosomal RNA, internal transcribed spacer 2, and large subunit ribosomal RNA". The stretch from base 1 to 120 matches the Rfam family "5.8S ribosomal RNA", at positions 35 to 154 of the family's 154-position model. The record is from RNAcentral.
GAUGAAGAACGUAGCGAAAUGCGAUAAGUAAUGUGAAUUGCAGAAUUCAGUGAAUCAUCGAAUCUUUGAACGCACAUUGCGCCCGCCAGUAUUCUGGCGGGCAUGCCUGUUCGAGCGUCAUUACAACCCUCAGGCCCCCGGGCCUGGCGUUGGGGAUCGGCGGAAGCCCCCUGUGGGCACACGCCGUCCCUCAAAUACAGUGGCGGUCCCGCCGCAGCUUCCAUUGCGUAGUAGCUAACACCUCGCAACUGGAGAGCGGCGCGGCCAUGCCGUAAAACACCCAACUUCUCAGGUUGACCUCAGAUCAGGUAGGAAUACCCGCUGAACUUAAGCAUAUCAAUAAGCGGAGGA